CNNUCNAGUAUGGCCUCGAUAUCUGGACUGUUUGNAUAUUGGUAGAUGUUGUGUUGAAACCUGCGAUUUUAGAUGCUGAAAUUCUGUAGAUAGUCGCNAGAACACUCGGUGGCGAAGUCGGCCCNACUGGACCAUUAUCUNACUGCCUGAGUGCGCGUAUAAGUCGUGGGGAGCAUANACAGGAUUAGAUUAUCCCUGGUUAGUUCCNACUCCUGUUAACGAUGAAUUGCCAGCUUUUGGGGUGCUUUGCACCGCAGUAGCGCAUGCUAACGCUUUGAGCAUUCCGCCUGGGGAGUACGGUCGCAAGAUUAUAAACUCUAAAUGGUAUAUUUGACGGGGGCCCGCACAUAUGCGGUGGAGCAUGUGUGUUUAAUUCGAAGCAACGCGCAGAACCUUACCAUCCUUUGACAUGGCGUGUUACCCAUGAGAGAUUUGGGGUCCACUUACGGUGGCGCGCAACACAUGGUGCUGCAUGUCUGUCGUCAGCUCGUGUCGUGAGAUGUUUGGGUUAAGUCCCGCAACGAGCGCAACCCACGUCCUUAUGUUGCCAUCAUUCAGUUGGGCACUCUAGGGAGACUGCCGGUGUAUAAGCCGCGAGGAAGGUGUGGAUGACGUCAAGUCCUCAUGGCCCUUACGGGAUGGGCUACACACGUGCUACAAUGGCGGUGACAGUGGGACGCGAAGGAGCGAUCUGGAUGCAAAUCCCCAAAGCCGUCUCAGUUCGGAUUGCACUCUGNCACUACGAGUGCAUNGAAGGCCGGAAAUACAANACGNAAGNUGCGANGANUANGUNCUCUGUANACNGACUGAUNGCC
This 815-nucleotide ribosomal RNA is filed under the name Methylobacterium sp. F10. RNAcentral describes it as "partial 16S ribosomal RNA". It matches the Rfam family "Bacterial small subunit ribosomal RNA", at positions 611 to 1402 of the family's 1533-position model. The record is from RNAcentral. Lineage: Bacteria; Pseudomonadati; Pseudomonadota; Alphaproteobacteria; Hyphomicrobiales; Methylobacteriaceae.